Molecule: long non-coding RNA, 216 nt
Filed under: Elaeis guineensis (African oil palm)
Lineage: Eukaryota; Viridiplantae; Streptophyta; Magnoliopsida; Arecales; Arecaceae
Description: long non-coding RNA (EGUI_LNC056142)
Source: RNAcentral
CUCCAAAAGAUUGAGCUCUGUAAAAAAAAAAAUUUACUAACCCUUCAACCAAUCUCUUGAUAAAUUUUUUUUUUGUAGGUACAAUCCAGUGGCUCUUCUAUUAGCCACUUCUAUAACCAGAUGAUUACCACUAUUUUCUGAAGACAACCACUACUACUAUUCUCGAAGUCGGUUUAAUUCUCAAAGAUGAUUUAUCUUCAAAAAUCAAUCUACACC